GGGAGGGAGGGGGCCUUGAAUUUAGUCCCACAUCGGCUAGUAGCGGAAAGGUUCCAUGCCUUAAAUGGGGGGUGGAAAUCCUUUCCUCUCGAGGCGCCCUUUCCGAAGGGACAAAGCCGUGAGGGGUGGAAAGGGUGGUUCCACCCGGGGCGCCACAAAGUGGACCCCCGGGAGCGGUCGACGAUCCCCGAUCCCCGAAGCGGACAAUAUUUUCUGGAGCAGAGCUCUGCCACUGAGCUACGGGCGCACCCUACUCAGUUGGUAUUCUCCUCUAGGAGGCGCCUUUUGAAGGGCAAACCCGUGAGGGCACCAGUCUCUCCCCGUCAGCGCUGGACGCGCGGGCCGGAGCGCCUAAAGCGGACAAUACCUCGGGAGGAACGUGGUCCUCUUUCUCUGCUAGCUUAAUGUGGGCUAUGCUGUUGCGCGAGGCUCCGGCCAAAGCGCCGUCCCCGCAACAGU
RNAcentral lists this long non-coding RNA (459 nucleotides) under Phoenix dactylifera (date palm). Its description in RNAcentral is "long non-coding RNA (PDAC_LNC021550)". The record is from RNAcentral. Lineage: Eukaryota; Viridiplantae; Streptophyta; Magnoliopsida; Arecales; Arecaceae.